This 1584-nucleotide unclassified non-coding RNA is filed under the name Hevea brasiliensis (rubber tree). Lineage: Eukaryota; Viridiplantae; Streptophyta; Magnoliopsida; Malpighiales; Euphorbiaceae. The record is from RNAcentral.
GGUACGUUCAAAACCAAGCCUGGGAACUAGACCCAGUUAUGAUUGGUACAGCAUAGGCAAAGAAAGUUUAGCAGUUGUACAUAGUGUUCAAGACACUGGUUAUUUAGAGCUUGCAUGCUGUUUCCGCAAAGGUCGCCUAAUGACUCAUUACACUGACAUUGAAAAGGUUUCUGGAUUUCGAAUUGGGCAGCAUGUUAGGUUUAGGUCUGGUCUGGUAGAACCAAGAUGGGGCUGGAGAGGCACUAAUCCAGAUUCUCGAGGUGUGAUAACUGGCGUUAAUGCUGAUGGAGAAGUUAGGGUUGCAUUUUUUGGUUUGCAAUGUCUCUGGAAAGGAGAUCCUGCAGAUUUCGAGAUAGAGCCAACAUUUGAAGUCGCAGAGUGGGUCAAGUUGAGAGAGAUUGCAAGUGGUUGGAAAUCUGUAGGGCCAGGUAGCAUUGGAGUUGUGCAAGGAAUGAGUUAUGAAGGCGAUAAGUGGGAUGGAAAUGUUUUUGUUGCUUUUUGUGGAGAGCAGGACCAGUGGACGGGAUACUGCAGCCAUCUUGAGAAAGUAAACAAACUCUUAGUUGGUCAGCGUGUUAGAGUUAGGAACUCUGUGAAGCAGCCAAGAUUUGGUUGGUCAGGUCAUAGUCAUGCAAGUGUCGGAACUAUAUCAGCAAUUGAUGCAGAUGGCAAACUAAGAAUCUACACACCAGCGGGGUCAAAAUCUUGGAUGCUUGAUCCUUCAGAAGUUGACCUUGUGGAAGAAAAAGAAAUCCAAGUUGGUGACUGGGUCAGGGUUAGGGAGAACGUAUCUAACCCAACACACCAGUGGGGGGAUGUCUCACAUUCAAGUAUUGGGGUAGUGCACCGCAUAGAAGAUGGAGAUCUUUGGGUUGCAUUCUGCUUUUUGGAUAGGCUAUGGCUCUGCAAGGCCUUGGAAAUGGAAAGAAUUAGAGCAUUCAAAAUGGGGGAUAAAGUGAGGAUCAGAGAUGGGCUGGUGGCACCUCGAUGGGGAUGGGGGAUGGAGACUCAUGCGAGUAGAGGUGAAGUGGUUGGAGUGGAUGCUAAUGGGAAGCUACGAAUUAAGUUUCAAUGGAGAGAAGGGCGUCCGUGGAUUGGAGACCCUGCUGAUAUUGUCCUUCAUGAGCACGAUGAUCAAUGAAGGGUUUGUCUUUAUUAUGGUUCCUCCGUUCAUUAGAUAACAGGCAGGGCAAGCCAAGGGCUUCUUUAAUUUAUAGGAGAGGCAGUCCAUGUGCUGUCUUUGCUAAUGGCGUUAUAGGCUGCCCCAGUGCAGUUGACAGCCAUGAAAACAGAUGUAUACAAAGUAGCUUUGAUGACAGAGAGAUGGAUAAAAGGUUAAAAGGGUGUUGGGGUUGAUUUAGUGUCAUUGCUGAAGUUCAACUUCAGAUGUGUAGUCAAAAAUGCUGCCUGCGUUGGGGAUUUUUCUGCAUAUGUUUCGUUCUAGCUGCGUUAACAGAAAUAUGCUUGAUUUCUAUUCUGUACAAAUCACAAGUAAUUUUUCAGUUCAUAGCUUUGAAACAUAGUUCACUUACACUAGACUCGAACAUUUCUCUCCUUUAUCUUUGUCCUUUAGAAGAUGCUGAG